CUGCUUAAGGCCUGGCAGCCGGCGGAACCCGGACCAGGUCCCUUCUCUGGAGUUCUGUCCUCCUUUCACCGGAAGCCCGGUCCCGCCCUGAAGACAAACCUCUUCUAGCCGCGGGCGUCUGUAGGCAACCAGCCUGCCCCGAGAGACACCCCCACCCUACUGGACCUGACAUUAUCCCUCCCUAUCCCGGCAGCCUGCCUGGAAGCUCCCCGUCGCCCCCACUACCCAGUGUCUGAUCCCUAGACCAGGUCCCCCUUCGUUGUAAAACAAGCCAGGGCCACUCUCGUCUGGAGUACUAAUCACCAGGACCCCCCUCCAGGGCAGCCGGAAGCCCUUUCUUGCUAGGCUUCCUUAGGAGCAGGGAUCAAAUUGCACCUGUCCCUAACUCAGAGCCCAGUCAUAGAGGCUCUAAGAAGCCGAGCUCCUACGACUUUUCAGCUAGCUGGGCCACUCACUCCUUGAAAUCAAGCAACCUGAAGAGUCCCACCGCUAAUCCCACCCUAACGAGUCACCU
Molecule: long non-coding RNA, 514 nt
Filed under: Rattus norvegicus (Norway rat)
Lineage: Eukaryota; Metazoa; Chordata; Mammalia; Rodentia; Muridae
Description: long non-coding RNA NONRATT001044
Source: RNAcentral